GACGAACGCUGGCGGCGUGCUUAACACAUGCGAGUCGAACGGAAAGGCUCCAGCUUGCUGGAGUGCUCGAGUGGCGAACGGGUGAGUAACACGUGGGCAAUCUGCCCUGCACUCUGGGAUAAGCCUGGGAAACUGGGUCUAAUACCGGAUAGGACCUUUCUCCUCAUGGGGUUUGGUGGAAAGUUUUUCGGUGCAGGAUGAGCCCGCGGCCUAUCAGCUUGUUGGUGGGGUAAUGGCCUACCAAGGCGACGACGGGUAGCCGGCCUGAGAGGGUGAUCGGCCACAUUGGGACUGAGAUACGGCCCAGACUCCUACGGGAGGCAGCAGUGGGGAAUAUUGCACAAUGGGCGAAAGCCUGAUGCAGCGACGCCGCGUGAGGGAUGACGGCCUUCGGGUUGUAAACCUCUUUCAGUAGGGACGAAGCGCAAGUGACGGUACCUGCAGAAGAAGCACCGGCUAACUACGUG
RNAcentral lists this ribosomal RNA (467 nucleotides) under uncultured bacterium. RNAcentral's name for it is "partial 16S ribosomal RNA". It matches the Rfam family "Bacterial small subunit ribosomal RNA", at positions 28 to 507 of the family's 1533-position model. The record is from RNAcentral.